RNAcentral lists this ribosomal RNA (425 nucleotides) under uncultured bacterium. Its description in RNAcentral is "partial 16S ribosomal RNA". It matches the Rfam family "Bacterial small subunit ribosomal RNA", at positions 354 to 796 of the family's 1533-position model. The record is from RNAcentral.
GUGGGGAAUAUUGGACAAUGGGCACAAGCCUGAUCCAGCCAUGCCGCGUGAGUGAUGAAGGCCCUAGGGUUGUAAAGCUCUUUCACCGGAGAAGAUAAUGACGGUAUCCGGAGAAGAAGCCCCGGCUAACUUCGUGCCAGCAGCCGCGGUAAUACGAAGGGGGCUAGCGUUGCUCGGAAUCACUGGGCGUAAAGCGCACGUAGGCGGCUUUCUAAGUCAGGGGUGAAAUCCUGGAGCUCAACUCCAGAACUGCCUUUGAUACUGGAGAGCUUGAGUUCGGGAGAGGUGAGUGGAACUGCGAGUGUAGAGGUGAAAUUCGUAGAUAUUCGCAAGAACACCAGUGGCGAAUGCGGCUCACUGGCCCGAUACUGACGCUGAGGUGCGAAAGCGUGGGGAGCAAACAGGAUUAGAAACCCUGGUAGUCC